Molecule: non-coding RNA, 27 nt
Filed under: Drosophila melanogaster (fruit fly)
Lineage: Eukaryota; Metazoa; Arthropoda; Insecta; Diptera; Drosophilidae
Source: RNAcentral
UCCUAUGAGAAGGGCGACCACUGAGAC